ACCUAAUGCCUGGUGGCACAGACACGUCUGGAGUUACGAUGGAAUGGGCAAUUCAUGAACUACUUAUACACCCUCGCGUCCUAGCAAAGUUAAGGGAAGAGAUUGACAGAGUAACUGGUGGAGAAAGAUGGGUGCAAGAAGAUGAUUACCCUGAAAUGCCUUACUUAGAGGCUAUUAUUAAGGAGACAUUGAGGUUACAUCCACUCUCACCAUUAUUGGCACCACAUUUUGCACUUGUGGAUUGCAAUGUAGCAGGUUAUGAUAUAGCUAAAGAAACAGUUGUUCUAAUAAAUACAUGGAGCAUAGGAAGGCAUCCUGACCACUGGGAUGAUCCUUAUGAAUUCAAGCCAGAAAGAUUUUUGCAGGGCAAGGAAAUCGGUAUGACAGGACAGGAUUUCAGCUUGUUGCCAUUUGGCUCAGGCAGAAGAAAAUGCCCUGGGUACAGCCUCGGACUUAGGCUUGUUCGAACAACAGUUGCCAAUGUGUUCCAUGGUUUCAACUGGAAAUUUCCUGAGGGUACAAAAGCUGAAGAUAUAUGCAUGGUCGAGCGCUAUGGUCUGACUACGUGUCCUGAAGUCCCCGCUACCGUUAUCCCAGAGCCUCGACUUCCAAUCCAUCUCUAUAAGUGAUCAUGUUUCCUUUGUUUCUAUCCUAUUAUAUUGCUAUUGAUAUGUUUGUUCAUUACUUUUUCCCUUGGGUUAGAAGUAUCUAUUGUCAUGAACUAUCUGUACUAAUAAUGGAGGAGGGUACAAAACCUGAAGAUAUAUGCAUGGUCGAGCGCUAGUCUGAAUAUAUGUCCUGAAGUACCCACUACUCUUAUCCUAGAGCCUCCACUUCCAAUCCAUCUUUAUAAGUUGAUAUGUUUGUCCUGAAUAUAUAUAUUUUUUUUCUCUUGGUUAAUUUAGAAGUAUCUAUUGUCAUGAACUAUUUGUACUAA
Molecule: long non-coding RNA, 937 nt
Filed under: Aquilegia coerulea
Lineage: Eukaryota; Viridiplantae; Streptophyta; Magnoliopsida; Ranunculales; Ranunculaceae
Description: long non-coding RNA (ACOE_LNC002329)
Source: RNAcentral